Molecule: ribosomal RNA, 527 nt
Filed under: Anastrepha ampliata
Lineage: Eukaryota; Metazoa; Arthropoda; Insecta; Diptera; Tephritidae
Description: partial small subunit ribosomal RNA
Rfam family: Bacterial large subunit ribosomal RNA (bases 395-527)
Source: RNAcentral
AAACAUGUCUUUUUGAAUUAAAUUUAAAGUCUGACCUGCCCACUGAAUAAUUUUAAAUGGCCGCAGUAUUUUGACUGUGCAAAGGUAGCAUAAUCAUUAGUCUUUUAAUUGGAGGCUGGUAUGAACGGUUGGACGAAGUAUAAGCUGUUUCAUGUAAAUUUAUAAUAGAAUUUUAUAUUUUAGUUAAAAAGCUAAAAUUUUAUUAAAAGACGAGAAGACCCUAUAAAUCUUUAUAUUUAAUAUUAACUAAAUUUUUUUGAUUUAUUUUAUUUUUUUAAUAUUAAUUAUUUUGUUGGGGUGAUAUUAAAAUUUAAUGAACUUUUAAUUUUUUAAAAUCAUUAAUUUAUGAAUUAUUGAUCCAUUAAUAUUGAUUAUAAGAUUAAGUUACUUUAGGGAUAACAGCGUAAUUUUUUUUGAGAGUUCAUAUCGACAAAAAAGUUUGCGACCUCGAUGUUGGAUUAAGGUAUAAUUUUGGGUGUAGCCGUUCAAAAAUUAAGUCUGUUCGACUUUUAAAUCCUUACAUGAUC